Non-coding RNA from Kogia breviceps (pygmy sperm whale), 2315 nucleotides. Lineage: Eukaryota; Metazoa; Chordata; Mammalia; Artiodactyla; Physeteridae. The record is from RefSeq and is a predicted model, not a curated record.
CGUUCUCAGCCCCGCCCCUGACGCGCGGGCGUUUGGUGGACGCGGAGGUCUGGGCGGCUGCGAAGAGCGUGGUGUGGCCGGGCGCUGGGGUCCGAGCCAGACUGGCUGGUCGGCGGCAGCCGUCACAGGAAAUAAGUGACCAUGGUGCUCAAUAGUUUGGAUAAGAUGAUUCAACUCCAGAAAAACACGGUUAACAUCAGGAAUAUCUGUGUUUUGGCUCAUGUUGACCAUGGCUCCGGACGCACACGCUCACGGGCCAUGGCUCACAGGCCCAGCCGCUCCGCGUCAUGUGGGAUCUUCCCGCACCGGCUCUCGCACCCGUGGCCCCUGCAUCGGCAGGCAGAUUCUCAACCACUGCGCCACCAUGGAAGCCCGUCCGAUGUUUAUUGAACAUCUGCUAAUUUCGAGGUAUUUUGCUAGCUAUGUCAGAAGGUAGAGAUUUAUGCACAGGGCACCAGCCCACUAUAUAGAGAGGUGAUUUGGGGGUUGAGGCAGCACAACAUGAGACAGGGAAAAAGUAGACUCUAAGGGUUGAGAGAGCUGGAGGGUCGGGAAGCUAGUAAUGAGUUAAGAAAAGGGCUUUAUAACAGUGUUAGAGAUGACCCCUGAAGGGUGAUUCAAGAUGGCAGAUGGGGACACACAUUUCAAAUGGGAAUAAUGUCAGCAAGGGGAGAAUGAAAUGUAUGUGACCAAAGCACGGGAUAUGAGAGGUGGGCAGGGAUGCAUGGUGCUUAGCUUCUCACAGACAUUGCUUUCAUACCACAGCAUUGCCUCCUGCUAAGCCCGCGCUUGGUUUCAGACUCCUUCUUAGUUCACGUAGCCACAGCAAAGUGAUAGGAUUGGGAGUGUGAAAUAAAACCUCUAUACCCUCCUGAAGGUGAGGGAGUAGGAGAGAAAAGUGAAGAGAUAGGCUGGGCUGUAUCUUAAAGAGCCCUUCGUGCCAGCUAGGCACUAGGAUAUGGGUUAAGUGCUCCAGCUCUGGAGUUAGACAACCUGAGUUCAGAACUCAAAACAUUUCAAGUUACUUUGCCUUUUUGAGCUUCAGUAUACAGCCUCUGUGUAGCGGAAUAAAAACCAAACCUACCUUAUCGCAUUGUGAGGAUUAAAUGAUGAUAAUGAGAAGCCCUUGGCAGGUGCUUGCUUUAUCAUGAAGAUGAUCAUUGGCAUUUAUUAUUAGGUAAUAGGGUGCCAUUGGGAGAACAGAAUAAAGCAGGGAUGUUGUAAUCAAAUAGUACAUUAGUAAGAAUGGUCCGGUGGAAGUGUUUUGGAUGGGUUGAAAGGCAGAAAAGAUGUUAGGUGGCUAUUGCCAUUGGUAUAAUACUGGAAGUGAAGUCCUUACGGGAACUAAAAGGAGAAGUAAUGGAUCACUUUGUAAGUGAAGGCAACUGAGAAUGAGUUUUGUAUAUCAAUCUGGUGACUAACCCUACCCUAUGAGUUUCUAUAAUUAUACUGCUCACAGUUUGAGGACAUGAAGUUUGACAAAAAUAUUUUUUUUGCUUUGUGAAUUAAAUCAUGCGGCAAGUCAGUGGCAUGUGUGUGUACAGCAAACUCCUUUAAAGUUUACUAUUUAAAAAUAUGUUAAGAUAAUACUAUCCUAGAAAACCUGUGAUUCAUUUAUUCAUUCAACAGAUAAUUCGCUGAAUGUUUCUUACAUGCCAAGACUUGUUCUGGUCCCAGGGAUACAGUUGUGAAUAAAGCAAAGUCCCUGCUUUCUUGACACUUGCAUUAGGGGGGAUAUAUGCUCGCCAUACUUAGAAUGUUCCACUACAUUGGAAGCAGGAAAAUGACGCUCUAGGGUUAUACGCUGAUACAUAAUAUUUACAUGGCAAGCACUUAAUACAGUAUUAAAGGUCCAAAUGGGUACUUGAGUAUCGUAAGAAUUUCUUUUUAUUAUUAGAGUAGGUUCCUGGGUUUAUGUUUGAACAUAGAUACUAGGUAGCAUUGGUCACUGCAGUGUAGCUGAUGCCCUCCAUUGGCUUGCAAACAGUAGGAGAUAUGGGUAAAUUUCAUGAAUUUCUUUGCCAAAUGGGUAUUUUCUUCCGACAGUUUAACUGGCAAAAGCCAGCUGAGGCCAUACGUGGGGAAAUACGGCAAAAGAUAAUGUUCCAUUGUCUUGUGGUGAUGUUUUACCCAGUAUAUCAUUCAGAGGAAAAAAUGAUUGCUGUGCUACCCUUUUGUCAUGCUGAGCUAUCAAGAGUUUAAGUUUAUAGGCCUGGACACAGUUACGGAUAUCUGAUGACUGAUGCAAUCAUUACAAUAAACUUGAUCAAAUUCUUUGUCGGACAGAUUGGAGUAACUGUAAAAGUCGCUUGUCA